Molecule: ribosomal RNA, 506 nt
Filed under: Scheffersomyces shehatae
Lineage: Eukaryota; Fungi; Ascomycota; Pichiomycetes; Serinales; Debaryomycetaceae
Description: eukaryotic LSU rRNA
Rfam family: Eukaryotic large subunit ribosomal RNA
Source: RNAcentral
CUGGCACCUUCGGUGUCCGAGUUGUAAUUUGAAGAAGGUAACUUUGGAGUUGGCUCUUGUCUAUGUUCCUUGGAACAGGACGUCACAGAGGGUGAGAAUCCCGUGCGAUGAGAUGUCCAACUCUAUGUAAAGUGCUUUCGAAGAGUCGAGUUGUUUGGGAAUGCAGCUCUAAGUGGGUGGUAAAUUCCAUCUAAAGCUAAAUAUUGGCGAGAGACCGAUAGCGAACAAGUACAGUGAUGGAAAGAUGAAAAGAACUUUGAAAAGAGAGUGAAAAAGUACGUGAAAUUGUUGAAAGGGAAGGGUUUGAGAUCAGACUUGGUAUUUUGUAUGUCUUGCUUUCGGGUGGGGCCUCUGCAGUUUACUGGGCCAGCAUCGGUUUGGACGGUAGGAUAAUGACAUUGGAAUGUGGCACUACUUCGGUGGUGUGUUAUAGACUUUGUUGAUACUGCCUGUCUAGACCGAGGACUGCGUCUUUGACUAGGAUGCUGGCAUAAUGAUCCUAAACC